AGCCACAGCCAUAACACCCUGCAACUUAAGACCGGUUACUUACUAAAGCUAAGCAAGGUUGAGCCUGGUUAGUAUCUGGAUUGGAGUCCACAUGGGAAAACUAGGUUGCUUUUGAAA
Danio rerio (zebrafish) is the source of this 117-nucleotide ribosomal RNA. The record is from Ensembl. Lineage: Eukaryota; Metazoa; Chordata; Actinopteri; Cypriniformes; Danionidae.